This 468-nucleotide ribosomal RNA is filed under the name uncultured bacterium. Its description in RNAcentral is "partial 16S ribosomal RNA". It matches the Rfam family "Bacterial small subunit ribosomal RNA", at positions 28 to 507 of the family's 1533-position model. The record is from RNAcentral.
GACGAACGCUGGCGGCGUGCUUAACACAUGCAAGUCGAACGGAAAGGCCCUGCUUUUGUGGGGUGCUCGAAUGGCGAACGGGUGAGUAACACGUGAGUAACCUGCCCUUGACUUCGGGAUAACUUCAGGAAACUGGGGCUAAUACCGGAUAGGAGCUCCUGCUGCAUGGUGGGGGUUGGAAAGUUUCGGCGGUUGGGGAUGGACUCGCGGCUUAUCAGCUUGUUGGUGGGGUAGUGGCUUACCAAGGCUUUGACGGGUAGCCGGCCUGAGAGGGUGACCGGCCACAUUGGGACUGAGAUACGGCCCAGACUCCUACGGGAGGCAGCAGUGGGGAAUAUUGCACAAUGGGCGGAAGCCUGAUGCAGCAACGCCGCGUGCGGGAUGACGGCCUUCGGGUUGUAAACCGCUUUCGCCUGUGACGAAGCGUGAGUGACGGUAAUGGGUAAAGAAGCACCGGCUAACUACGUG